Molecule: non-coding RNA, 74 nt
Organism: Podarcis lilfordi (Lilford's wall lizard)
Lineage: Eukaryota; Metazoa; Chordata; Lepidosauria; Squamata; Lacertidae
Source: the annotation of a GenBank genome assembly
GCCUGGAUAGCUCAGUUGGUUAGAAUGUGGUGCUAAUAAUGCCAAGGUUGCAUGUCUGAUCCCUGUAUGGGACA